Molecule: non-coding RNA, 222 nt
Filed under: Streptomyces tsukubensis
Lineage: Bacteria; Bacillati; Actinomycetota; Actinomycetes; Kitasatosporales; Streptomycetaceae
Source: RNAcentral
UAGGCUGUGGGUGCAGCUGGUUCGCCCUGCCCGCCAGGCAGACGCGUCGCAAGAGGGAACCCGGUGGGAAUCCGGGACUGCCCCGCAGCGGUGAGCGGGAACGACCGCCGUCAUACGCACUGGGUCCGAAGGAACGGGCCCGGGAAGCGACGGCCAGUAGGUGUCCUCCCCCGUGAGGACGUGCCCGCGAGUCCGAAGACCUGCCAUCUGCCCGUGUGCGAA